GCGCCCGAUCUCGUCUGAUCUCGGAAGUUAA
This 31-nucleotide ribosomal RNA is filed under the name Sorex araneus (European shrew). The record is from RNAcentral. Lineage: Eukaryota; Metazoa; Chordata; Mammalia; Eulipotyphla; Soricidae.